GGCGCACGGGUGAGUAACGCGUAAGUAACCUAUCCUCGCAUCUGGGAUAACCCACCGAAAGGUGUGCUAAUACCGGAUACGUCUACGUUUAAACGAUUAUUUGUAGAGAAAGGUGGCCUCUGAUUCAAGCUACUGUGCAGGGAGGGGCUUGCGUACCACUAGCUAGUUGGUAGGGUAACGGCCUACCAAGGCAAUGAUGGUUAGCGGGUCUGAGAGGAUGAUCCGCCACACUGGAACUGGAACACGGACCAGACUCCUACGGGAGGCAGCAGUGAGGAAUAUUGCGCAAUGGGGGCAACCCUGACGCAGCGACGCCGCGUGGAUGAUGAAGGCCUUCGGGUUGUAAAAUCCUGUCAGAUGGGAAGAAGUGCAUCAUGUAUAAUACAUAUGGUGUUUGACGGUACCAUCAAAGGAAGCACCGGGCUAACUCCGUGCCAGCAGCCGCGGUAAUACGGAGGGUGCAAGCGUUGUUCGGAAUUACUGGGCGUAAAGCGCGCGUAGGCGG
RNAcentral lists this ribosomal RNA (505 nucleotides) under uncultured Desulfobulbaceae bacterium. RNAcentral describes it as "bacterial SSU rRNA". It matches the Rfam family "Bacterial small subunit ribosomal RNA", at positions 97 to 578 of the family's 1533-position model. Lineage: Bacteria; Pseudomonadati; Thermodesulfobacteriota; Desulfobulbia; Desulfobulbales; Desulfobulbaceae. The record is from RNAcentral.